This 251-nucleotide ribosomal RNA is filed under the name uncultured bacterium. Its description in RNAcentral is "partial 16S ribosomal RNA". It matches the Rfam family "Bacterial small subunit ribosomal RNA", at positions 524 to 776 of the family's 1533-position model. The record is from RNAcentral.
UACGUAGGGUGCAAGCGUUAAUCGGAAUUACUGGGCGUAAAGCGUGCGCAGGCGGUUUUGUAAGACAGGCGUGAAAUCCCCGGGCUCAACCUGGGAAUUGCGCUUGUGACUGCAAAGCUGGAGUGCGGCAGAGGGGGAUGGAAUUCCGCGUAGCAGUGAAAUGCGUAGAUAUGCGGAGGAACACCGAUGGCGAAGGCAAUCCCCUGGGCCUGCACUGACGCUCAUGCACGAAAGCGUGGGGAGCAAACAGG